Molecule: ribosomal RNA, 253 nt
Filed under: uncultured prokaryote
Description: partial 16S ribosomal RNA
Rfam family: Bacterial small subunit ribosomal RNA
Source: RNAcentral
UACGUAGGGCGCAAGCGUUGUCCGGAAUUAUUGGGCGUAAAGAGCUCGUAGGCGGCCUGUCGCGUCUGCUGUGAAAUCCCGGGGCUUAACCCCGGGCGUGCAGUGGAUACGGGCUGGCUGGAGGCAGGCAGGGGAGAAUGGAAUUCCCGGUGUAGCGGUGAAAUGCGCAGAUAUCGGGAGGAACACCGGUGGCGAAGGCGGUUCUCUGGGCCUUACCUGACGCUGAGGAGCGAAAGCUAGGGGAGCGAACAGG